RNAcentral lists this ribosomal RNA (248 nucleotides) under Trypanosoma vegrandis. RNAcentral's name for it is "partial small subunit ribosomal RNA". It matches the Rfam family "Eukaryotic small subunit ribosomal RNA", at positions 392 to 631 of the family's 1831-position model. Lineage: Eukaryota; Euglenozoa; Kinetoplastea; Trypanosomatida; Trypanosomatidae. The record is from RNAcentral.
UAGCCUGAGAAAUAGCUACCACUUCUACGGAGGGCAGCAGGCGCGCAAAUUGCCCAAUGUCAAAAAAAAACGAUGAGGCAGCGAAAAGAAAUAGAGCCGGCAGUGCCACUGGCAUUGCCGUUUUCAAUGGGGGAUAUUUAAACCCAUCCAAAAUCGAGUAUCAAUUGGAGGACAAGUCUGGUGCCAGCACCCGCGGUAAUUCCAGCUCCAAAAGCGUAUAUUAAUGCUGUUGCUGUUAAAGGGUUCGA